GCGGCGGGGACGGACGAGGGCGGCCCGCGGGCCCGGCUCCGCAGCCGCGACAGCUCGUGCGGCCGCCCCGGAACCCCGGGCGCGACGAGCGCCGCCAAGGGCAGCCCGAAUGGCGAGUGCGGGCGCGGCGAGCCGCAGUGCAGCCCCGCGGGGCCCGAGGGCCCGGCGCGGGGGCCCAAGGUGUCGUUCUCGUGCCGCGGGGCGGCCUCGGGGCCCGCGCCGGGGCCGGGGCCGGCGGAGGAGGCGGGCGGCGAGGAGGCGGGCCCGGCGGGGGAGCCGCGCGGCAGCCAGGCCAGCUUCAUGCAGCGCCAGUUCGGCGCGCUCCUGCAGCCCGGCGUCAACAAGUUCUCGCUGCGGAUGUUCGGCAGCCAGAAGGCCGUGGAGCGCGAGCAGGAGCGCGUCAAGUCGGCGGGGGCCUGGAUCAUCCACCCGUACAGCGACUUCAGGUGCCGCCUCCGGGGGAGGGCGCGGGAGGGCGCGGGGCGCGGGGCGCGGGG
RNA transcript from Sapajus apella (tufted capuchin), 497 nucleotides. It is a transcript of the gene named potassium/sodium hyperpolarization-activated cyclic nucleotide-gated channel 2 pseudogene, with no coding region annotated. Lineage: Eukaryota; Metazoa; Chordata; Mammalia; Primates; Cebidae. The transcript has a single exon. The record is from RefSeq and is a predicted model, not a curated record.